Molecule: transfer RNA, 74 nt
Filed under: Chlamydiota bacterium
Lineage: Bacteria; Pseudomonadati; Chlamydiota
Description: Chlamydiae bacterium (groundwater metagenome) tRNA-Ile
Rfam family: tRNA
About the family: Transfer RNA (tRNA) molecules are approximately 80 nucleotides in length. Their secondary structure includes four short double-helical elements and three loops (D, anti-codon, and T loops). Further hydrogen bonds mediate the characteristic L-shaped molecular structure. tRNAs have two regions of fundamental functional importance: the anti-codon, which is responsible for specific mRNA codon recognition, and the 3' end, to which the tRNAs corresponding amino acid is attached (by aminoacyl-tRNA synthetases). tRNAs cope with the degeneracy of the genetic code in two manners: having more than one tRNA (with a specific anti-codon) for a particular amino acid; and 'wobble' base-pairing, i.e. permitting non-standard base-pairing at the 3rd anti-codon position.
Source: RNAcentral
GGGCCCAUAGCUCAGCUGGUUAGAGCAGCGGACUCAUAAUCCGUUGGUCCUAGGUUCAAAUCCUAGUGGGCCCA